GUAAUAUUUCAUUUAAAAAAAAAAGUUUAAGCAUUUUUAUAAUUGGGCCUAUUUAAUUAGGCUACAUAUGAAAGCCCAAAUAUAAAAAGAAAUGGGCAUUGUCUAUAGUCCAAUUAAUUACAACUUUAGGCCAAUCUAACUAUACUUGACACAUCAAUUACUAUAUCAAACAUUGAUGAUUCAAUCGCCACCUCUAUAAUUGUUGAACUUCAAUUUAUUACAAUUUCGAAAACCUUUUGAGGGCAUCAGCAGCAUUUUCAGCAUGUUUUGGAAUAGGCAAAUUGCAAAGAAGAGUUACCCUUGCAGUGGACACAACAACUUUUCUCUCUUUUAAAUCCUUCCACAAUUGGACAUCCCAUACCUGAAUGGAUUUGCCGACGGUGACCGGAGCGGCUUCGGCGUGAACGAGGUCGCCGAGGGCGGCGCUCUUCAAGUGAUUGAUACUGAGAUGAAUUCCGGCGACUCUCUGGUAGCCGGACGCCGUAUGAGCGCCCAUACUCGCCAGAGACUCUGCGAUCAACGCCGAUACUCCGCCGUGCAGCACUUUGAACGGCUGGCAGCAGAUCGGGGAAACGAGGAGAUGGCCGGAAACUUUGUUAGAAGAGACGUGGUCGACCUCGAAUCCAAAGGCCUGAAGCGUAACGUCGAGAACUGGCGGCUUCGACGGCGGAAAAGGAUCUGUAGACGACAUUCCUUGAAC
RNAcentral lists this unclassified non-coding RNA (700 nucleotides) under Hevea brasiliensis (rubber tree). The record is from RNAcentral. Lineage: Eukaryota; Viridiplantae; Streptophyta; Magnoliopsida; Malpighiales; Euphorbiaceae.